This 11699-nucleotide long non-coding RNA is filed under the name Fragaria vesca (wild strawberry). RNAcentral describes it as "long non-coding RNA (FVES_LNC001309)". The record is from RNAcentral. Lineage: Eukaryota; Viridiplantae; Streptophyta; Magnoliopsida; Rosales; Rosaceae.
UCUAUUUGUUCCUCAUUGACUAUAUCUGGAAUCCUAUUGAGGGAGGACCUAGACGAACUAGAAGUGACUGAGUUGGAUCUAAAAAGUCGACUCAUUUUGGGAAAAGAAGAGAAAACAAGACCGAAACUAAAAAGAUAGGAGGAUUUAAGAUCCUUGGCUUAAGACCCUAAAGACUAGUACUCGCUCUUCUCCGCUUAUGCCGUAUCCGCUCAUGCCUCAACUGGGACUUAGUGUUUGGACCUGGACUUAAUGUUUGGUUGGAGAGAAUAACAGGCUUAAAAGGAAGUAAGAAAAAGAAAAUAAAACCAAAAAUCUUUAAAAUUAAGGGAGUUUACUCAAAAUUUCACAAAAUUAGUAAAGCAGAUAGAUCAACUCAAGAUCCACUCCUAGGUGGUAGUCCGCCACCUGGGGAUUGAGAAGAUAAGUAAAAUUGACGAGAAAUAAACUCCAGAACCACUCCUAGGCGGUAGUCCGCCACCUGGGGUUGGAGGGUUUUGAAUGAUUAACUAUAUCAGGCCGCCAUCUGUAGACAAUAUAUAUAUAUAUAUAUAUCCCUUCUCAGCUGCGGACGUCCGCACCAAUGGUUUUGGUGCGGAUUUUCAUUUUUACACCACUUUUCGAUCGAAUUUCCUCAUCUCCACCGUCCAGUAUCUAGAUAAUAUUGUGUAGAUCAUCUCUGCAAAAAUUCAGCCAAUUUGGUAAUCGUUAAGGCCCUCAAAAUUGCGUCUUUCUUCUAUAAACAUGAACGGUUCAUGUUUGACAGAAUUCAGUCCGUCCAUUUGUUUUUCGAGUUUGAGGGCCUUAACGAUUNNNNNNNNNNNNNNNNNNNNAAACCAUUGGUGCGGACGUCCGCAUCUGAUCAGCAUUGUAUAUAUAUAUAUAUAAAAGAGCGAAGGUUCGUUAUGAAGUUAAAGUGUGAAGUUCCAUAUUUGACAUAUUUUUCGAUCAUCUUUCCACAUCUCCACUGUUCAAUUUGUAGAGCCUAUAGCAUAUAUAGAUCACUUCUGUAAAGUUUCAUCUAAAUUGAUGAUCAUUGCGGUGCCAAAUUAGAUUAAAUCAAUGAACGGACCAUAAAUAUGUCUAACUAGAACUAUUUAUGUAAAUAACAAUUACGAAAACCCAAACGAUCAUCAAAUUCGAUGAAAUUUUACAAAAAUAAUCUAUGCAAUAGAUUAUAUAUAUAUAUAUAUUUAAUUUGAACAUGAUAUGCAAUAGAUUAUAUAAACUGAAUGGUGUAGAUAUGAAAAGAUAACCGAAAAAUGUGUCAAAUAAAGAACUUUACACUUUAAUUUUAAAGCGAAACUUCGCAUAUAUAUAUAUAUAUAUAAAUAAAGGUACCUUAAUUCCUCCAAAAAUAAUGGUUAGAGCACAGAAAGUCACAUGCGCCAGAGCUAGCACAAAUAUGAAAAUAUGUAGAUGAUGCAAUGCAGUUGUGGAUAGCAAUGGGACCUUCCCCUACAUAAAUUAAUCAGAUCAGUAUUCAGAACUAAAAUUUACCUCAAUAUUCCAAGUUAUUAGGUGAGAACAAAAAAUUAAGAAAAAUAAAGUAGUCGUACGCGUGCAACCCUUUGAUGGCAUAAUAUAUUCAAGACUUCAAGUUCUCCGUUGCACUCCGUUUUCGAUUACGUAUUCACAUCUUGAUUGCGUAAUUUGUAGAUAUACACGAAUAUAUCAUCUUUACAAAUUUUCAUCUAAAUUGAAAUUCUUUAAGACAUUCAUAAAUGUGAUUUUUCGAUUAUAAACUUGAACUGCUCAUGUUCGACAAAUUUGGAUCGUCAAUUAAUUUAAUUUAGUUUGAUUCCUUAACGAUCAUCGAUUUAGCUAAAAAUUUAUAGAAAUGAUAUACUUAUAUAAACCUAAAAACUAAACGAUAGAUGAAAAAAUAUAAUUUUAAAAUAGGUGUAAUAAAUCAUCAAGAGAAAAAUCCUCAACUAAAUGGUCCUGGUUGAACCUCUCCCUAUAAUAUAUAAAUUAUUUUUUUCCAGCUUUGCUUCAUGAGCUUGAUUCUUGAUUCUUGAUUCUUGACUAGGGGUGGGCAUGAGACGGGAUGGGACGGGAUAGAGCUAAUCCCACGGCCUGUUUCGGAUAUUGAAAUCGGGACGGGACGGGACGGGAUUUGCGUUUUUAAGAUUUCAUCCCACCCGGGCCCUAUCCCGGUUGGGACGGGUCAGGAUGGGACGGGACGGGCCUAAUCCCGGAUAAAAAAAGUUAAAAAUAAACUUGUAAGUAAAUGAAAGAAUUUCAUAGUUUUAUAGUGCUCUUUACUCUAUUAAGUAUUAACAAGUACUUGUACUUGUAACAUAUUUACAAGUACAACACGGUGUAAUAAGAGAAUUUAUUUGCUUAUUUUCUCUAAACUUGUCAUCACUACUACGGUGCAAGAAGAGAGUCUAUAACAAUCAACAAAUUAAAGUAUUAAACAUCACUAUUAUUGAAUUGGAGACAACCUAUUAACUUAAAGAAACAAAGAGUUAAGAUCAAAACACUUAAAUGAAAGCUUCAAAUCACAUAUUAAUUAAUAAAAAAUCAAUUAUUAAAAUAAUCGGGACGGGACGGGCCUAAACGGGAUUUGAAUUAUCUGUUCCAUGUCCCGUCCUGUUAUAUAGGGAUGGGAUGAGACGGGACGAGCCUAACGUUUUGAUAUUUAAAUCCCGUCCCGUCCCGGCAAAUUUCGGGAUGGGAACAGGACGGGUUCAGAAUUACGGGAUUUUAUGCCUACCCCUAUUCGUGACACUUAAUUUGAAACGUCAUACUGGUUAAUUUCUUAAACAGUGAUAGAUGUGACGACGUCUACCCCUCACGUAAAAGAUCGUUCCCGGUUGGCUACUGUUUAAAAUCAAGAAGGGUGUCAAGACACAAAAAAUUCAAUAAUGGAGCAAGUUAGUUAAAUAAUACUGAUUAUUGCACAAUACAAAAAUAUAGAAAAUGAAAAUUAGGCCAAUUGACAUUGACCUAGCUAGCUACCUGCUCUGAACAGGAUUUAGGGUUCUUGGCUGCAAGAAGAUGCCGAGAAUAAUGGUUACUAGUGAAGAAGCUGCUGGUCUGGAAAUGGCCAGUCGUUGACUUUGACUUCGGCUCUUCUUCCUUACAAGGCAGCCAAUGACUGGCAAGUUUCUUUGAUAUGCAGAACUUUUCUAUAGAAUCUUGGAACACCGUCAGCAGGAGUGAUAUAAACCCCAAAAGCAUCAACUCUGCAUAUCACAAUCAAUCAUCGUAACUGAUUAACUAAGUAGGUAUGAUAAUAGAUGUGUGUAUAUUCUUCAAACUCUCAAUUCAGACCGGUCAAAAGAGGAAAAAAACAGAGAGAGAGAGGAAAGAAAUAAAAGAUUCAGAGGAGCACCUUCUUUGAUCUUCUGCAAGGCCUCGAAGAGAGGUAUCUGCUUCUUUCUCUUGAGAUACUGUACGAAAUGAAGNNNNNNNNNNNNNNNNNNNNNNNNNNNNNNNNNNNNNNNNNNNNNNNNNNNNNNNNNNNNNNNNNNNNNNNNNNNNNNNNNNNNNNNNNNNNNNNNNNNNNNNNNNNNNNNNNNNNNNNNNNNNNNNNNNNNNNNNNNNNNNNNNNNNNNNNNNNNNNNNNNNNNNNNNNNNNNNNNNNNNNNNNNNNNNNNNNNNNNNNNNNNNNNNNNNNNNNNNNNNNNNNNNNNNNNNNNNNNNNNNNNNNNNNNNNNNNNNNNNNNNNNNNNNNNNNNNNNNNNNNNNNNNNNNNNNNNNNNNNNNNNNNNNNNNNNNNNNNNNNNNNNNNNNNNNNNNNNNNNNNNNNNNNNNNNNNNNNNNNNNNNNNNNNNNNNNNNNNNNNNNNNNNNNNNNNNNNNNNNNNNNNNNNNNNNNNNNNNNNNNNNNGGGGGUUGGGUUUUCAAUGAUACAAAUAACACAAGAUUAAAGAUGGGCUAGAGAUCGAUCAUAGAGAUUAAUUUGAGAGCGGUGGAGCUACGAGAUGGAGGUAGACAUGCCUUGCCAGUGCAGUGAAGUAAUUUCUCGACGACUAAAGAAAUGAAGACUAUAACAGAACACACAAAAGCCACCGCCCAUGUCGGUGUUUGCUCCAACGUUGUCCCUCCAGCUGCCAUGAUCGAUCAAUCUAUGUCGCCGGCGAGCUAGGAUGUACGUGGUGCGAUCGUGGCGGCCGGUAAUGUUGGUCUAGCAAGCAACAGAGACUGGUACUCUGGUCGCUACCAGGCCUCGACCCUGCAUGCUCUUUCUAUUUGUGAAUGUCCAUCUCUCCGUUUAUCGAUAUAUUUAUAGUUAGUUUAUUACUUUAUUUGUUCAGUUUACUUAUUUAUUUUAUGGUUAAAAGUUAAAACAUAUAUGAGGACGGAAAGCUGAAAAAGACGUGGAGCGACCAACAAAAGCCAAUCCCAAACUACCUCAUAGCCACUAAAACGUAGUUAAAUGGUGGAUGUAAUGCAGGGUUAUAUAUGCAGCAAGACUACUAUGGCUUAAUUCUUCAACGCUUUUCAAUUAUAUUUGCACGAGACUAACAUAAGUCCACAUAAAGAAAUCGUUAUUGACAUUGAAUAAAAUUUAAUAAGUUUGUCGAUAAAAAUGAUGUAAACUUAGUUCUCUAUUAUUAAACUCGGACCCUGCCCCUCACAAAGUAAAAAUCUUGGUUCUGUCCCUGACUGCAAUUCAUAAUUCUUCCUGAAGUUUGGUUUCAUUUUCAUCAAUAUCACUUGGCCUUAAUCCAAAGCUUUUCUUCUUCUUCUUCAUCACCGUGAGUUUUAAGUUUGAACAUUGUAUCAGAGCGACAAAGACCUUCUUGGAAUGUUAGGAGACCUGGAAGAGUAUCUAAGACCAUGCUCGCAAGUCACUUCAACUCGGCUGCAUAUAUGCCUGUUCAAGAAAUACAAGUCAAUAGGACUCGGAUGUACAUAGAAAUUGGACUUGUUCAUGAGCAUUUUUCCACUAAACAAACAAGAUAGCAUUUUUCCACUAAACAAACAAGAUAUCAUUUUUCCACUAUUAAUGAAACCAAAGAAUAUAAUAGGAGAGCCUCAAAUUAUAACAAAACAUGUAUUCUACCAUGCACAAAUUAAUAAAGAGUGCAUCUUUGGCUACUCUAUUUGUUUUACAAUUUAGAUUAAUGUAUUUUGAUUUUUGCAAUUUUGGUUCAUAAAUCAACAAUGUUUGCAGUCAUUUUUGGUUAUAUUAAUCAGCAUCAAUGUGUUGACAUGCUUCUCAUGUACAAAAUUAGUUAAUUACGUUAUUCUCUCCGACUUAAACUAUAUAUGUAACAUUAAUUUUCCCAAAACAAAUAAAGUUUGAAUAUGUGAAGCAGGAAAAGACGUCAUUUCUGAACUGAUUGUAAAUGUGGGGAUAUAGUUGACAUGAAUAUCAUAAAAAUUGCUCAGCCACACCAUGAAGAUGUUUAUACGAGACCUUCUUGGAAUAUUAAGAGACUUGGAAGAAAUACGAGACCUUCUUCGAACUUAAUUGGCUGCAUAUAUACCUAGCCUGCACGUGACAAGAAAUACGAGUCGAUCAGUAGGACAUGCCGUGGAUGUACAUAGCAGUUGGACUUGUUCAUGCGCAUUUUCCACUAAACAAACAAGAUAUCAACAACAAUAUUUGUUUAUAUUUAAUUACUUUACUAAUUUACUUAUCUACUUGUGGAAUGAUGCGGGGAAAUUCGACUUUCUUACCAAGUGAUUACAAGAAAAGAAUAAUAAUUGCACGUAGCUAGAGUCAUAUUAUUAUAAUUUAGAUCCAUGUAUUUUGAAGUUUUCGAUUUUGGUUCAUAAAUUAAUUAAUAAUAUUUACAUUCUAUAUCGUGUUUUAUGCUAUAUUGAAAUCAGUCUGUAGACAUACUUCGAUCUUAUGUAUAAGGUUAAUUUCGUUAUUCUAUUUCUCCAACUCAAACUAAAUAAUCAAAACUUGAAUAUGUGAACCCAUUCCUAGAAGUUAGGACUUAUGUGACGAAAUGGUUUCGUUAUUUAAAAGUAAAAUUUCGUCUUUCGUCGCAUAAGUACUUAUGAGACGAAAAUUUUGUCGCUUAAGAGUCGUCGCAUAGGUGGUGUCGCAUAGAUACCUAAGUGACGAAAAUACAUGUUUCGUUGCUUAUAUUCCUCUUAAGCGACGAAUUACGUUUCGUCGCUAAACUCCUUAAGCGACGAAUUUUCAACACUUAAGAGACAAAAUACUUCGUCGGUUCGGUGUUUACACUAUUACAAAAAAUUAAUUAAUUAAAUUUUUAGAGCAGCAGCAACACAACUAGUCCUUCAUGUCCGACCAACCCGACCCGAAUUCCAAGUCCACGGAGCCUCACAACCCUUAUCAAACCGCUCCCAAUUGGCUCAACAACGCCCUCCUCCACACCCAGUACGCCACAAACACCUCCGGCGCUGACACCAGCAACGGCAGUGGAGGAGGUACUAAUUUCCUCAACCUCCACACAGCCUCCGACUCCACCGCCGCCUCCCAGGCCUCCAACCAAUGGCUAUCGCGCCCGAUCCUACAGCGCAACCACAGCGACGUCAUCGAUGAUGUCGCUGCCGGCCCCGGUGACUCCAUGAUUGCCGGCCCCGAGCUUACCCGCUUCACCUGCAAACUGCUCUAGUCCAAAAACUCCUCCUCCUCCUCACUCGAUCUCUCUCUCCUCCAUCCCCUCACAUAUGAGGCUUGGAAAGGGUGGGCUGAGUUUGAAUCUAGGAGGCGGCGACGGCGGCAUCGAGGUGAAGGAGUUAGACAGAGCAAGCGGUUGGAUUCGGGAAUGAAUCGGAGAGGGAGGAGGCCGGAUCUAGUGGAGAGAAAGAGAGUGAGGGCUGGAUGAUGGUGAGGAAAAAGAAGAGGAGAGGUGGUUGAUGGCUGGGUUUGAUCUGAGGAAGAAGAACUGAUGAGGGGAGAACAAGGAAGUAGGAACAGAUGGAAGAAGAUAAAGUGGGAGAAGUGGGAGAGAGAGUUUAUAAAACAGAUAAAAUGGGGCUUUGAAAUUUUUAAAAUUUUUGGUUUGAAAAUUUCCUAAAUUUUGGCGGGAAAGGUUUGACCGCCUAAUUAUUUAGUCAUAUGCGACGAAAAUGGUAACUCACUUCGCUUAAGUAGAAAAUCACUAAUUAUAAUUUUUAAAUUAAAACAUUAAUUCCAUCAUAAAUGUACAUCACUUAAAUCUCUUAAAUUUUUAGAGAUUAUUAGCCUUGAUUACCAUCGAAUAUGAAUGGAUGUAAUUAAUGAAAUAUGAAUUUCACGUUGACUUUGAAAAAUUAACUUAAUUAGUCUUAAAUAUCUAUCGACAUUAAUGGAAUGGAGUUAAUAUUUAUAGUAUUAAAAUGUUUUUUAUUUAUAAUUAAGGUAAAGGGAAGCAACACAUUCUUUUAAUAUUUAUCAUGCUUCUGAAAUUUUUAAAAUUUAUUCAAUAUGAGUUAAUCAACUUUCCCGAAAAAAUGUUCAUUUUACUAAUUCGCUUUUAUCGGGGCAUAAACGAUACCGGAAAUACGUGAUUUUUUAACCUUAGUCGUACGUAUUUCACUAUACCAAUCACAUCUUAUUUCACAAGAUUUUUAAAAAUUUAGUUUUAUUUGUAUAAUUGGUUCACACAUACGUACACUUCCAUAUAACCUAUGAAACAAGUUAUAUUACUUUAUCAGACACGUUAUGAUUCCAAUAAAUAAAAGUAAAAUUUCUAAAAAUAUCAUCAAAUAAGAUGUGAUCAGUAUAGUAAAAUAAACCUAUGGUAGAAAAUUCACUUAUUUUCGAUAAUAUUUGGGUCUCGACAAACGCGGUUAACCCUAAAUCAACGUCACGUAUCAUACGAAAACGCUAUUAGAUAUCCACACGUGGCCUAGUUUUGUUGAUUCUUCCACACACACAUUCUCACAUGAAUGAGAUGUAACCACAUAUGUAAAAAUUUUGGGAUGUUUACCUCCCGACGAUAAGACUCGUCAUAGGGAAACAUAAGUUUAAAUAUGGUUGACCACUUUUAUCGGAACCUAAACAUUACCAAAAAUACAUGAUUUUUUAAACCUAGCCGUAUUUAGCUAUACCGAUCACAUCAUAUUUCACAAUAUUUUUGAAAAUUUUGCUUCAUUUGUAUGGUUGGUUCACAAAGAUGUACACUUGCAUAUAACCUAUUAAAAAUUAACUUAAUUAGUCUUAAAUAUUCAUCUACAUAUAUUUUAAAAAAAUAACUUAAAUAUGAAUUGAAAAUUAACUUUUAAAUAUGAUUUUUUUAUAUAUAAUUAAGUUAAAUGGAAGCAACACUUUCUUUUAAUAUUUAUUGUUCUUCUAAAAUUUAUACAAGAUGAGUUAAUGAACUUUCGCGAAAAAAUGUUUUACUUUUGUAUGUGGACUUCAUUAAGUGGUAUGUAGGAAAUCCUUAAUAUUUAAUAAUCUUUUAUUUUUAUAUAAUUAUUUAAUAAAUUUUUCAUUUUUAUAUAAUUAUGAAAAAAAUUCGUCUCUUAAGUCAAACCAUUUCAUCUCAUUAGUUCUCACUUAAGAGACAAAUUUCAAUUUCGUCGCUUAAGUAUUCACUUAAGAGAGGAACCCAGUUUCGUCUCAUAAGUGCUUACUUAAUUUCGUCUCUUAAGUGGUUACUUAAGCGACAAAUUUGAAAAAUUUUCUCUCUUAAGCCUUUUUUCCUAGUAAUGACCACAAAUUGUUAUUGAGAUAAUUUCACUUUACUACCCUGAACUUUAGGUCUAAAAUCAGUUUGAUAUCUCAUCUUUUUUUUUAAUCAGUUUCAUACCUAAACUUUCAAAAUGACAUCAAUCUCGACCAAAAUGACUAAAAUAGCCCUGGUUAAUCUUUUUACCCUCUCAGAGUUAAGAAUGGCAGCGGCGACUGCCGGGGGAGGAGGAGGGGCUGCCGCCGGAGCCCAUUGCUGGUAGUAGGGGUGGAUGCCGGCGCCAGCCAUGUGGUGGAUUUGGAGGCAGGGAGAGNNNNNNNNNNNNNNNNNNNNGAGAGAGGGUAAAAAGAUUAACCAUGGCUAUUUUAGUCAUUUUGGUCGAGAUUGAUGUCAUUUUGAAAGUUUAGGUAUGAAACUGAUUAAAAAAAAGAUGAGGUAUCAAACUGAUUUUAGACCUAAAGUUCAGGGUAGUAAACUGAAUUUUUUCCAUUGUUAUUUGUCUCUAUUAGCUGAAGAUAAUGGAAAUAAUGGAAAUGAAACAAAUGUAAAAUUGAUGUUAUAAAUACAUGCAUGCCUGCUGAAGAAAAUUGUCCCUCUCAAGAAAUAGAAAUUAAUUAUGUGCAUGACCAAUAGAAAUUAAUUAUGUGCAUGACCAAGAAAAGGCUGUGAUGCUUGCAUCUCUUCUAUAUUACUAUGAACCCAAAUGGUAGUCAUAUAUGCCUCCCUUUCGAGAAAUUUUUCAACGUUACGGGAGGACCACGUGGCAGUAUGACGUGAUCCUACAUUCUAAUCAAAUAUUAACACAUAAAUUGUCACAUCCCGACCCUUAAAUUUUUACCUUAUUUACUAGCUUGACUAUAAUAAGAAUUUUACCGUCUCCGUCAAUGAAGUUAUAGUUUAAUUGGUCCCUAGAGGGGUUUUGGGGACGAUUAUUUCGGAGAGUGAUUCGUCGGAGAGUGAUUCGUAGGAGAAAAAUAUGACGACGGUAAAAAUGGUAAAUUUUAGCUAGUAAAAGGUAAUUUUUAUUAGGGUAUUUUUUUGGGGUGUAAUUUUUUUAGUGGAGUUGGGUAUAUUAUAGGCUUGGACCGGGUGUGGAGGCCCAAAGCCUUUCUUCUUCUUUCUUUUCUCUUCCCUCUUCCCCGAGCCCUCUCCCGAGCUCUCUCACCCCGGCGAACUUCCGGCCGUCCGCCUGCCGCCGUCCGGCCACCGUUCGCCGUCGCUCCGGUCCCAAACGGUCGGCCUCCGACCCAGCUAUCUCCCAGGACCAGUGACAGCCGCCCUAGCUCCGCCGUGAAGGAGCGCUCUCCCCCAAAAGGUCCGACUGUGUUAAGCUUCACGUCGUCAGAACUUCCUUCUCCGGCCACCAAUCCGGGGAAGCCAUAUAUGGUUUUGAAGGUCUCCAACCCAGUUGCCUUGCCAUAGAAGGACUCGGUCCAGUUUGCUUCAGGACGAGAGGAGUCCCGAGCAGAGGAAGCAUCAGAGCGUCAUCAGGCUUAGGCCUAAUUUGUGAGUGGACCUUUGUUUUAAUUGGAAAAGCAUGCGAUGAAUUAUCUUGUUGAUCAUUUAUUUCUUUUGAUGAGACUUAUUGAUUUCUCGAUUAUUUGGCAAUUUUUCCUCUUUUGGAGAGAUCUCAAAAAUGAGAUUUUCGGUGGAUAUGUUUAUGGAUAUUAUGAGUAUAGUAUGUAUAUAAAUGCUAACUAGCCAUACGUGCUUGAUCCGUCAUAAUGAGGUAAAAUGCCAUUAUGGCGUAAUGUGAGUGUUAGACACUAGCGUCAUAGCCCUAUAUAAAAACUACUUUUUUUCUAGUUUAUUUAGGUUUUCAUAUAGGGAGUCCACACGUAUAUAAAUACACCGUCCUCUUCGGUUAUAAUGAGGAAAAAUACCAUUAUGGCGCAACGUGAGCGUUAGACGCCAACGUUGUAGCCUUGUAUAAAUUUCUAUUUUUCUAAAUUGUUUCUAGGAUUCAUACAAGGAGUCUGACGGGUGUAAAUACAUACGAAUAUAUGAUUAUAUAUAAUUUAGCCUGAGAGGCUCCAUUUUAUUUGAGUUGGUGACUAGCCGGAGCUAGUCGUGAAAUUGCCAGUUUAUGAGUUGAGUGCUUUUAAGCUGCCGCAUACAGUAUAUUUUCUUUGGAAAUUAAAAUGGGGAAAGCAUAAAUAUUUUUAUUAAUUUAUUUUUGUCCACUCACUCUAACGUGUUAAUAAAUGUGUUCCCCUGGGCCCUUCGUUUUAAAUUGCCCAGUCUGCAGAGUACGGAUUGGAUCUAGUAGGAGACGAGGCAUAGUCACCCGCUUUUCCACCACUUUUCAUCAGUAGGUUACCUGUUUAACCUACCAGCAUUUUCUUGCUUCCUCUAGUUAGCAGCUCUGAUUACCUGAAGGAUAAUGUUAUUAUUUCGGUUGUGAGCGAAGGCAUGUUGACAUUUUAGAAUAUUUGUCGGAGGAUUUAUGUCACAUCCCGACCCUUAUAUUUUUACCUUAUUUACUAGCGUGAUUAUAAUAAGAAUUUUACCGUCUCGAUCAUUGAGUAAAUAGUUUAAUUGGUCCCUAGAGGGGUUUCGGGGACGAUUAUGUGCGGAGGAUUAUUCGUAUGAGGAAAAUACGACGAUGGUAAAAUUAGUAAAUUUUAGCUAGUAAAAGGUAAUUUUUAUUCGGGUAUUAUUUUUCGGGGUGUUGAAUUUUGGAAUUAUGGGUUAAAAGGAGAGUUGGGUCGGCUGGGCCGAGCCCAACCCAUUUCUUCUUCCUUUCUCUCUCUCUCCCUCCCGAUUUUUCUUCUCUUCCCACCCGGUUUUCUCCUUUCUCCACCCGGAAAGUUCUCCACCGCCGUCCGCCGCCGUCCGGCCGCCCCAGACCGCCACACCGGUCCCAAUCGAUCGACCUCCAACCCAGCAACCUUCCUGGACCGGUGAGAGGAGCCCUAACGCCGCCGUGAGUGAGCGGUGCCGCCCGAAAGCUUCGACUGCCGAAUUGGUUUUUUUCGCCGGAACUUCCUCCUCCGGCCACCAAUCCGGGCAAGCUUGGUAUGGUUUUGUAGCCCUCCAACCCAGCAACCUUGCCCUAAAAGGACUCACUCCCUCUUGAGCUAGGUAAGGAGAAAUUUGAGGUGGAAGUUUUAUGGUGUUUUUGAUGUUUUUAGUCGAUUGCCNNNNN